AUACUUCGACAGCAUGUAUACCAAAAUUGGAAUGAUACAGCGAUUAGCAUGACCCCUUUGCAAGGAUGCCAUGCAAAUCUUUGAAGAAUUCUGUGUUGUU
Fukomys damarensis (Damara mole-rat) is the source of this 100-nucleotide small nuclear RNA. The record is from Ensembl. NCBI's taxonomy places the organism in Eukaryota, Metazoa, Chordata, Mammalia, Rodentia, Bathyergidae.